AACGCGAAGAACCUUACCUGGGCUCGAAAUGUAGUGGACCGGGGUAGAAAUAUCCCUUCCUAGCAAUAGGCUGCUAUAUAGGUGCUGCAUGGCUGUCGUCAGCUCGUGUCGUGAGAUGUUGGGUUAAGUCCCGCAACGAGCGCAACCCUUAUUACCAGUUGCCAUCAUUCAGUUGGGCACUCUGGUGAGACCGCCUCGGAUAACGGGGAGGAAGGCGGGGAUGACGUCAAGUCCUCAUGGCCUUUAUGUCCAGGGCUACACACGUGCUACAAUGGCCGGUACAAACCGUCGCAAACCCGUGAGGGGGAGCUAAUCGGAAAAAGCCGGCCUCAGUUCGGAUUGGAGUCUGCAACUCGACUCCAUGAAGCUGGAAUCGCUAGUAAUCGCGGAUCAGAACGCCGCGGUGAAUACGUUCCCGGGCCUUGUACACACCGCUGUA
Molecule: ribosomal RNA, 439 nt
Filed under: uncultured bacterium
Lineage: Bacteria
Description: bacterial SSU rRNA
Rfam family: Bacterial small subunit ribosomal RNA
Source: RNAcentral